RNA transcript from Papaver somniferum (opium poppy), 1395 nucleotides. It is a transcript of the gene named sirohydrochlorin ferrochelatase, chloroplastic-like, with no coding region annotated. The record is from RefSeq and is a predicted model, not a curated record. Lineage: Eukaryota; Viridiplantae; Streptophyta; Magnoliopsida; Ranunculales; Papaveraceae. The transcript has 8 exons.
GAUAAUCGUACGUGGUUUGGUAAAGCUUCGCUUUCAAAAGCAAUCUGACGGUCGACAGCCGAGUGGUUUAUCCUUUUCCUUGAUUACACCGAAUACAAAUCCUGCGGCCCUUCACAAAGAAAAAAAGAAAAACCAAUGACUUCUUCUACUUGUUGUUCGUCUAUCAUCCCUUCUCAACUUCACAACAGAGUUUCAAUUAGAAGAAUUACCACAAACAUUAUUUGGGUUUCCCCUAAAUCACUUAAAGUACAGAAAACCAAAGAAUAUCACUUAAAAUCAUGUUUUAGUGCUACUACUGCUGCUGCAAAUCGAGAAUUAAGAGGAGAUAAGUACGGUGUGGGCGAUAAGGAUGGUGUCAUCAUUGUUGAUCAUGGCUCUAGGCGCAAAGAAUCUAAUCUUUUGCUAAAUGAUUUUGUAGCCAUGUUUAGAGAUAAAACUGGUUACCCAAUUGUGGAGCCUGCUCACAUGGAGUUGGCAGAACCGUCGAUUAAAGAUGCAUUCGGUUCAUGUGUGCGACAAGGGGCAAACCGAGUAAUUGUCAGUCCAUACUUUCUUUCCCCUGGAAGGCAUUGGAAGCAGGAUAUCCCAAGCUUAACUGCUGAAGCUGCAAAGGAGCAUCCGGGUGUCACAUACUUGAUAACUGCACCUCUUGGCUUGCAUGAGCAAAUUGUGGAAGUAGUGAAUGACAGAAUCAAGCACUGCAUAAGCCAUGUAGCUGGAGAUGCAGAGGAAUGUGCAGUUUGUGUUGGAACAGGCAAAUGUCGUCUGUAUCAUGUUGAAUCAUAAUGAUCCUUUGCUACUGGUUUUAGAUCCAUCUUCAUGUGGAGACCUGUGAUUCACAUACAUGCAACUGAAGUGGAAAAAGAGUAUACAGUAUUUGCGGAUCCAAGAGCCUCGUCCAUCGUGAAAGUGUUUCUUGCGUUGUGUACACAUUCUCUGCAACCUACAAAAUCGAAAGCAUAAUCAGUUUUGGGUUCAAUUAUCAGAAGGUUUCUGCCUCCAUCUUCAUGACAGAUAGUUGCAAGCAAAAAAGAAAAAAAAAAACUUUCUACUGAGAACCAUUUGGAAAUGAGCGAGAAAAGCUUGUCAAUCAGAACUUUGCAAUCAUCAGAUAGAAUUACCUGGAAAUAGUUUGGUUUGGAUGGCUAUGGCGGGUCAAUUUUUAUUCAACUCUGAACUAACCAUUUUUAUUUAGUAAAGAUAGUUGCAGAAACCAAUAGAUAAUAUUGUUCACCAAGUUUGGAAAUAUCUUUGGCGGAAAUAAUGACCGGAAAGAUUGGUUUGAAUCAAAGAGUAUCUUGAUUUUGAUAUUUUUGUCUUGGUUAUUUGAUAUUUUCUCUUCUUCAAUGAGAAAGAAAAAUCAAUUGAAGGCAUAGAGAAUUAGAGAUAUUUUUU